ACGAACGUGGCGGAAUUGGUAGACGCGGUGGCUUCAGGUGCUAUUUGGGUUCUCUCGGUGCAAGUUCGAAUCUUGUUGUUCGUA
RNAcentral lists this transfer RNA (84 nucleotides) under Tetradesmus obliquus. RNAcentral describes it as "transfer RNA-Leu". It matches the Rfam family "tRNA". Rfam says of the family: Transfer RNA (tRNA) molecules are approximately 80 nucleotides in length. Their secondary structure includes four short double-helical elements and three loops (D, anti-codon, and T loops). Further hydrogen bonds mediate the characteristic L-shaped molecular structure. tRNAs have two regions of fundamental functional importance: the anti-codon, which is responsible for specific mRNA codon recognition, and the 3' end, to which the tRNAs corresponding amino acid is attached (by aminoacyl-tRNA synthetases). tRNAs cope with the degeneracy of the genetic code in two manners: having more than one tRNA (with a specific anti-codon) for a particular amino acid; and 'wobble' base-pairing, i.e. permitting non-standard base-pairing at the 3rd anti-codon position. The record is from RNAcentral. Lineage: Eukaryota; Viridiplantae; Chlorophyta; Chlorophyceae; Sphaeropleales; Scenedesmaceae.